This 288-nucleotide ribosomal RNA is filed under the name uncultured bacterium. RNAcentral describes it as "partial 16S ribosomal RNA". It matches the Rfam family "Bacterial small subunit ribosomal RNA", at positions 29 to 346 of the family's 1533-position model. The record is from RNAcentral.
AACGAACGCUGGCGGCAUGCCUAACACAUGCAAGUCGAACGCGUGUAGCAAUACACGAGUGGCGGACGGGUGAGUAACGCGUGGGAACCUGCCCAAUGGUAGGGAAUAACUGCGGGAAACUGCAGCUAAUACCCUAUGCUCCCUACGGGGAAGAUUUAUCGCCAUUGAGGGGCCCGCGUCGGAUUAGCUAGUUGGCGGGGUAACGGCCCACCAAGGCUACGAUCCGUAGCUGGUCNGAGAGGAUGAUCAGCCACACUGGACUGAGAUACGGCCCAGACUCCUACGGGA